UGAGUACGAGAUGCUACGGCAUCGAAGCAGUCUAUGUCAUACUUCCAAGAAAAGCUUGCACUGUCAGAAACAGAUAAUGCCUGUACCAUAACCGACACAGGUGGGUAGGUAGAGUAUACUAAGGGGCGCGAGAUAACUCUCUCUAAGGAACUCACAAAAUGACUCCGUAACUUCGGGAGAAGGAGUGCCUUAUUUUUAAGGUUGCAAUAACAAGAUCCAAGCAACUGUUUACCAAAAACACAGGUCUCCGCUAAGUCGUAAGACGAUGUAUGGGGGCUGACGCCUGCCCAUUGCCAGAAGGUUAAAGAAGUCGGUUAGCAUUCGCGAAGCUGGUAACUGAAGCCCUGGUGAACGGCGGCCGUAACGAUAACGGUCCUAAGGUAGCGAAAUUCCUUGUCGGGUAAGUUCCGACCCGCACGAAAGGCGUAAUGAUUUGGAUACUGUCUCGGAGAGGGGCUCGGUGAAAUAGACUUGUCUGUGAAGAUGCGGACUACCUGCACCUGGACAGAAAGACCCUAUGAAGCUUUACUGUAACUUGAAAUUGAAAUUGGACUUUAUUUGCGCAGUAUAGGUGGGAGGCGUUGAAAAUAUUCUUGCGGGAAUAUUGGAGCCAUCAGUGAGAUACCACUCUUGUAAUGUUAGAUUUCUAACUUUAUAUCAUUAUCUGGUUAAAGAACAGUUUCAGGCGGGCAGUUUGACUGGGGCGGUCGCCUCCCAAAUGGUAACGGAGGCGCACAAAGGUUUCCUCUGAACGGGUAGAAAUCGUAUCUAGAGUGUAAAGGCAUAAGGAAGCUUGACUGUGAGACCUACAAGUCGAGCAGGGACGAAAGUCGGUCUUAGUGAUCUGACGGUGCUGAGUGGAAAGGCCGUCACUCAACGGAUAAAAGUUACUCUAAGGAUAACAGGCUGAUCUCCCCCAAGAGUUCACAUCGACGGGGAGGUUUGGCACCUCGAUGUCGGCUCAUCGCAUCCUGGGGCGGUAGUACGUCCCAAGGGUUGGGCUGUUCGCCCAUGAAAGCGGUACGCGAGCUGGGUUCAGAACGUCGUGAGACAGUUCGGUCCAUAUCCGGUGUAGGCGUUAGAAUAUUGAGAGGAGCCUUCUUUAGUACGAGAGGACCGAGAAGGACAUACCUCUGGUGUACCAGUUAUCGUGCCAACGGUAAACGCUGGGUAGCUAUGUAUGGAGUGGAUAACCGCUGAAAGCAUCUAAGUGGGAAGCCCACCUCAAGAUAAGUAUUCUCAC
RNAcentral lists this ribosomal RNA (1243 nucleotides) under metagenome. RNAcentral's name for it is "bacterial LSU rRNA". It matches the Rfam family "Bacterial large subunit ribosomal RNA", at positions 1564 to 2817 of the family's 2925-position model. The record is from RNAcentral.